GAUGAACGCUGGCGGCGUGCCUAAUACAUGCAAGUCGAGCGAACGGACGAGAAGCUUGCUUUUCUGAUGUUAGCGGCGGACGGGUGAGUAACACGUGGAUAACCUACCUAUACGACUGGGAUAACUUCGGGAAACCGGAGCUAAUACCGGAUAAUAUUUUGAACCGCAUGGUUCAAAAGUGAAAGAAGGUCUUGCUGUCACUUAUAGAUGGAUCCGCGCUGCAUUAGCUAGUUGGUAAGGUAACGGCUUACCAAGGCAACGAUGCAUAGCCGACCUGAGAGGGUGAUUGGCCACACUGGAACAGAGACACAGUCCAGACUCCUACACUGGGCAGCAGUAGGGAAUCUUCCGCAAUGCGCGAGAGCCUGACGGAGCAACGCCGCGUGAGUGAUGAAGGUCUUCUGAUCGUAAAACUCUGUUAUUAGGGAAGAACAUAUGUGUAAGUAACUGUGAACAUCUUGACGGUACCUAAUCAGAAAGCCACGGCUAACUACGUG
Molecule: ribosomal RNA, 497 nt
Filed under: uncultured bacterium
Lineage: Bacteria
Description: partial 16S ribosomal RNA
Rfam family: Bacterial small subunit ribosomal RNA
Source: RNAcentral